RNAcentral lists this ribosomal RNA (127 nucleotides) under Salmonella enterica subsp. enterica serovar Anatum. Its description in RNAcentral is "partial 23S ribosomal RNA". It matches the Rfam family "Bacterial large subunit ribosomal RNA", at positions 1345 to 1476 of the family's 2925-position model. Lineage: Bacteria; Pseudomonadati; Pseudomonadota; Gammaproteobacteria; Enterobacterales; Enterobacteriaceae. The record is from RNAcentral.
CCAAGGGUUCCUGUCCAACGUUAAUCGGGGCAGGGUGAGUCGACCCCUAAGGCGAGGCCGAAAGGCGUAGUCGAUGGGAAACAGGUUAAUAUUCCUGUACUUGGUGUUACUGCGAAGGGGGGACGGA